Molecule: long non-coding RNA, 2129 nt
Organism: Benincasa hispida (wax gourd)
Lineage: Eukaryota; Viridiplantae; Streptophyta; Magnoliopsida; Cucurbitales; Cucurbitaceae
Source: RefSeq, a predicted model, not a curated record
GUUUCUCUGUUCCUCUGAACUUAAUAAGGAACUCAUUUCAGAGUGAAGCACUGAAGUUUGUUUCGAAUCAUAUGAAUAAAUGAGUUACAGAGUUGAGGAACUUCUUGUAAAAUGCUUGUAGCCACAUAAAUUGGUAGCCAGAAAAUCACAUAGGCUGAUCGGCAGUUUUUUUUUUUCCUCUUUAAAAUGCCCGCAUAAAGAAAAAUCAGUACCUUUUUUUAAUAAUUAUUUUAUUUUAAAAUUUAUUGGUCAUUUCCUUGGUCUAACGCAUCUAAAACAUUUGAUCAACUGUAGGUUUGUUUUCUAUGAUGCAGAAAGCUAACCUGUUUAGACAGUUAAAUAUUUCUCAAGUCAAGGAUGCUUCUCGCAUGCUUAAUGUGAAAGAUUUUUUUUUGUUGUUGUUAUGUGGAUUUGGUAUAUGUGCAUUAUCAGUAUUAACUAAGGUGAAUUAUUAUCGCCAUAGUAAUUACUUAACUUCACUGCAUCGAAUGCAUAGGGGAGGGGGAUUCGAAACUACUAGUCGUCAAUGAGAAGUGGUUAAAGAGAACAAGGACCCAGGGAGAUUUCCAAAAUGCAUUCCUUCUAACAAACAACGGAAGUGUGGGAUCUUUUAUUCCAACAACACCACACCCCCCCAAUUUCAAAAUCAUUUAGAACAUAAGAAAUUUAAGUAUACAAAAUUAUUUUGGCAUUUUUUUCUUAAGUUUUGACCAGAAAACCAUGUCUCACCAGGGCAAGAAGCCCCCAUGAAUAUUUGUGAGUGUCCCAUAACCUCCCCAAAAGUUUCUCAUAACUUUAGAAGCCCACAGGAAGAAUUCAAUCUUCAUCAUGAUUUUGGAAGUCCAAACAAGGAUAGAAUUUUGAGGUCAUGGCUAUACAGCUCUUGAUCUAACCUGCGAGCAAAAGGUGCACAAAGCAGGAGCUGAAAGCUUUAACUUGCAGGCGUGCUUCUUUGUGCUCGUCCUUACACAGCAGCAUUUCUCAUGGUAGGUACUCUUAAAAAAAGGUAAAAAUUUUCCAUGGGGAAGUGGAACUUUGAUACAAAGACGACAUCCUUCCUUGUGCUUCCCCCAAGUCAGUGGAUCUUUUGCAGGAUAGAGGCUGAUCGCAAGGUCACAUUUUUCAUGGUUGCUCCCUUGCAAAUAGAUUCUGGACCUUUAUACUGUCCUUUAAUUGGUAGGUAGCCCUUCCAAUUAACAUAAAGAGUCUUCUUGAUUCCAUCAUGGUUGGUCAUCCGUGCAACCAAAAAAAAGGUCCUCUGACCUCAAUUUAUCAGUGUUUUCAAUUGGAACUUUGGGCUUGAGGUGGAACUCGGAACUUUUGGCUUGAGGUGGAACUACUGUUAGCUACUAUUUCGUUGCUGACUGUUUCUUGGUCUAAGCUAACUAUGGCUGUGCUAAUUGGAGGAGUUUUUUUUUAGUCCUCUUGUUUGAGGCUUGGCUUUCCUCCUCUUUUGUAAUUUCAUAUCAUUUACAAAUUGAUUAGUUUCUCAUCUUCAAACCAACAAGAGAAGGAAAAAAGAAAGAAGAAGAAGAAAGAAAGAAAGAAAGAAAGAAAGAAAGAAAGAGGUGACUAUCUACUACUAACCUUUUGUCCACACGAGGGCUUGACAUCAGCCAAGGAGUUUAAAAAAAAAAAAAAAAAAACUCCUGAAUUUCCUCAGUUAGAUUCCCUUUAUGAACUUGGAUACCAACCUGAGGCUUCACUGUUGAAACCGUAUGGCUGCAUGUUGGGCGUGGGAAAUGGUGUAUCUAUGAGCUAAAUGGAGAUCACCUUAUUCUGUCACACCUGCCAAGUUAAAAGGAGUAGGAGUCUUUAGAACAGGCAAGAAUCUGAGGGUAUAGCAAUCCAGGGAGAAUAUACACUACCCUUAAUUCUUCCUACAAGUGAAAGCCAUACUUGCUGAAUGAUCGAAUGGCAGAAAAGUGAAGUCAUUUCCACAAUACAGAAAACUUUAGAAUAUAUGUAAUUAGAAUAUAAGAUUGGCCUUUGUUUCCAAGCUUCUUCUAUUUCGUUAGCUCAUGGAAAAGGUUGUGCCAUUUGGCGUUUGAUUCCAUUUCCUCUAUCUCAUAGGAAGAUUCCAUGAUUAUCCGUUGCCAUAAAUAGGAGAAUGUCUAUUCAAAAAUCAA